AUAGUCCCAAGUGUUGCCAGUUUGCUAUGUGUAUCAGCUUCUGGGUGUCAAAGUGGACUGACAUUAUAAUUCUUUCAGGAAUUGGUUGCUAGUUACAUUAACUUGUGACCCCAUGACAGAAAGAAACAUCUU
Molecule: small nucleolar RNA, 132 nt
Filed under: Bombyx mori (domestic silkworm)
Lineage: Eukaryota; Metazoa; Arthropoda; Insecta; Lepidoptera; Bombycidae
Description: Bm_73
Source: RNAcentral